AUCCUCUUUGUACAGCCGCCCCCACCUAUCUUCUUCUUCUUCGUGUUUCACCUCAACCCGCAGCCUCUGUCUUCUGCUCUCCGUGCACCAGCGCUGCUUUCCCCUCUCCUCCCCUCCGUAAAGCUCCUUAACCGUCGAGUCCCUGCAAAGCCCACUGUUCGAUUCAAUCGUUUACACCUCCAUCCGUACGCUCAACCCAGUCUCCGUCGCACGCAAAUCCCAGUCGAGAGCCACCUCCCACCCAAUUGCGGCUCGUUCCAAUCUGGUGAGUCACUUCCUGUUCGUCAGCUUCAACCCCCAGACUGCGCACGUCGCUCAGCUUGUUACCUCUUUGUUUGAGCCGCACGCCACAACGGGUUUCUCCCAUUUUCGUUUUCCAAUCGCAUUCCUCACGAACCCAGUCGCCGCCGUAUCCUGUCCGCCUCCCUCUCCGUUUGCACGUCUAGAAUCGUCGUCACCUACAGAUCCGCCAACCGUCGAGGUAAAGGUAAUGUACGAGGCAGACCGGCAAGGGGCAAGAAGGAUACGUGAAGGUCAUAUGGAAAUGUCUAGUUAUAUUGCUUCCGCUCAAUGUCAUUGUUGUUUUUGUUUUGAGGAUUUUAAUUUAAGUUUUGGUUAGAACAUUUGUUCAUUUGUUUUGUUUGAAAUUCCAUAGACUAUGUUUUGAAACUUUUGGAAUUAAUUUGAAAUAGGGCCCGAAGAUGAUUUUAUUACAUCUUGAAGUUUUAAUGAAUUUUGAUCAAGUUCUUAAUUGAGUUUUUUAUGUUAGAUGUCGAGUCUUAGCAGUAAGUAAUGACCUCAACUUAGACUGAAAAGUUGGGUCUUUACAGUUGGUGUCAGAGCCUAAGUUUUAGGUUAUGUAGACUGACUUAUGAUGUAAGUCUAUGUUUUGUGUCCCUAUGGCUAGAACGAUCAUUUACCGCUCGUUAGGUAUGCUCUUAUGAAUUAUAUGUAUAACUCUAUAUGUAUGAUCUUGCCUAAGUUAAACUGCGAAGUGAAUUAUUGUUGAGACUAAAGGAGUUACUGGUGGUUAUUAGGAAAAUGCUACCAAGAAGAGGUUCUUAUAGGAGUGGUCAAGAAGGUCGAGGAAGUGGAGCAGGAUGUGUCCAACCUGGAGUGCAACCGUAGUUCAAGCUACCAAUCCUGCUGCACCAGUCACUCAUGCAAACCUCGCUGCUAUGAAGCAGAGGUUCAGAGACUUAAUUAUGUAGACGCAGACACCGCAGUAGCUUGUCCCGCCAGUUCCUACUCAGGCUCUAGUCGAACCCCAGAGCGUGCCAGACCAGCUGUCAGCAGAGGCUAAACAUUUAAGGGAUUUCAGAAAAUACAAUCCUAAGACUCUUGACGGGUCUUUAGAGGACACCACCAAGGCUUAGAUGUGGUUAUCUUCUGUGGAUACCAUAUUUUGAUACAUUAAGUGUCAUAACAAUCAGAAGGUUCAAUACGCCGUGUUUAUGUUGACAGACAGAGGCACCGUCUGGUGGGAGACGACAAAGAGGAUGCUAGGGGGUGACGUGAAUCAUAUCACCUGGGAGUAGUUUAAGGAGAGUUUCUAUGUGAAGUUCUUCUCUACCAAUUUGAGAGAUGUCGAGCGGUAAGAGUUCUAAACUUGGAGUAAGGUGAUAGGACCGUGGAGUAGUAUGAUGCUGAUUUUGACAUGCUGUCUCGCUUGCUCUGAGGCUGCCAGGGCCAAUAAGCUUGUUAGAGGUCUCAGGCUAGAUAUCCUGGGCCUCGUUUGAGCCUUCCGACCUGCCACCCAUGCUGAUGCACUGCAUCUGACAGUGGAUAUCAGUUUACAAGAGAAGGCUAAUUUGUCCAAGAUAGCAGGAAAAUGGUCAACCUCAUGAUAGAAAAGGAAGGCUGAGCAACAGAGGAACUUGAGAUUAGGUGGCGAUCUACGUCAUUUUCAGCAAAAAUUGUUUGAGACAAGGGAACUGGCCAGAGAGAAGCCAUUAUGUACCACCUGUUGGAAGUACCAUCUGGGUCUUUGUUUGUUUGAGACUAAGACUUGCUUCAAGUGUAAGCUAGAGGGGCAUACAACUGAUAGAUGUCCUAUGAGGAUUACUGGGGUUGCUCAGAAUUAGAGAGCAGAUGCACCACAGCAGGAUAAGGUCUUUGCUACGAAUAAAUCUGAGGCCGAGAGAGCAGGCACUAUUGUGACAGGUACGCUUUCAGUGUUGGGGAAUUAUGCCUUAGUUCUGUUUGAUUCUGGUUUAUCACAUUCCUUUAUCUGUUUUGUAUUUGUAUCACAUGCAUGCUUAGAAGUAGAACCCCUAGAUCAUGUCUUAUCAGUGUCUACUCCAUCUGGGGAGAGUAUGUUGUCAAAAGAAAAGACAAAAGCAUGCCAGAUUGAGAUAGUGAGUCGUGUAAUAGAUAUAACAUUGUUAGUCUUAGAUAUGCAUGAUUUUGAUGUAAUUCUAGGUAUGGAUUAGCUAGCUGCUAAUCAUACUAGUAUAGAUUGUUCCCGUAGGGAGGUGGUGUUUAAUCCUCCUACAAGGACCAGUUUUAAGUUUAAAGAGGUAGGAACAGUAGUAUUACCUAAGGUGAUCUCAACUAUGAAAGCCAGGAAGCUACAUAACCAGGGUACCUAGAGUAUACUGGCCAAUGUGGUGGAUACUAGAGAAGCUGAUGUUUCCUUGUCAUUAGAACCUAUGGUGAGGGAUUAUCUAGAUGUUUUUCAUGAAGAACUUCCAAGAUUACCCCCUCACAAGGAGAUUGAUUUUGCUAUUGAGCUGGAACCUGAUACUAUUCCUAUAUCUAAAGCUCCUUACAGAAUGGCCCCAGUUGAAUUGAAAGAGCUGAAGGUUCAGUUGCAGUAGUUGCUUGACAAAGGUCUCAUUCGACCGAGUGUGUCACCUUGGGGUGCACCAGUUUUGUUUGUUAAAAAGAAAGACGGGUUGAUGCGCUUGUAUAUUGACUACAGAGAGUUAAAUAAGGUAGCUAUUAAGAACAAAUAUCCUUUACCUAGGAUUGAUGAUCUGUUUGACCAGUUGCUGGGAGCUACAGUGUUCUCUAAGAUUGACCUUCAUUCAGGAUACCAUCAGCUGAGGAUUAAGGAUAGUGAUAUAUCGAAAACAACAUUUCGUUCAAGAUAUGGCAUUAUGAGUUCAUUGUGAUGUCCUUUGGAUUGACAAAUGCUCCAGUAGUGUUUAUGGAUUUGAUGAACAGAAUCUUUAAAGACUUCUUAGACACUUUUGUAAUUGUUUUUAUUGACGAUAUUUUGGGAUAUUUCAAGACAGAGGCAGAGCAUGAAGAGCAUUUACGCAUAGUUCUAGAGACCUUUCGAGCCAAUAAAUUAUAUGCAAAAUUUUCAAAAUGCGAGUUUUGGUUGAAGCAGGUAUCUUUUCUAGGCCAUGUGGUCUCUAAAGAUGGCAUUUUUGUGGACCCAACAAAGAUAGAAGCUGUUACUAGUUGGCCUCGACCUUCCACAUUUAGUGAAGUUCAUAGCUUUCUGGGUUUAACAGGCUAUUACCGACGGUUUAUGGAGGACUUUUCUCGUGAGCUACUCCCUUAGAGAACUCAUUUACAUGGGUGCAGAAUUUCAGUAGAACUCAUUUACAUUAUAUGCAAUGAAAAAUGGAUGAAUAAAAGGUGAAUAAGAACUUUUACCAA
Molecule: long non-coding RNA, 3612 nt
Organism: Cucumis melo (muskmelon)
Lineage: Eukaryota; Viridiplantae; Streptophyta; Magnoliopsida; Cucurbitales; Cucurbitaceae
Exons: 2
Source: RefSeq, a predicted model, not a curated record